AUGGCUGGCUUGGAAGGUUUCGAGUUCUUCGAGAUCGUAACUGAGAAAUCUUGCAGUAGGCAGAGGUUGCCUGACAAGUUUGCGAAGAUGCUCGCCGGCCGUGAGCCCCACAAAGUGAAGCUGCGGGAGGCCGGCAGCGGGCUUCACAGGAUGUGGGAAGUGUUGGUGGUGUUUGAUGGUGAAGGCCACAUGUACUUAUGGCCCGGCUGGGAGCAUUUCGCCCGUGCACAUGAGCUACAGCUCGAGUACUUCCUUGUCUUCCGCUACGACGGCGACACCAUGUUCACCGUGAAGAUGUUCGACAACACCAUGUGCCGCAUGUACUACCAGCACGACAACGAUGCCAGCAAUGGGAGCAGCAGCGGGGAUGACGAGGAGCAGAGCAGGGAUGACGACGAGGAGCAGAGCAGGAAUGACGAGCAGAGCGGGGAUGACGAGGAGCAGAGCGGGGAUGACGAGGAGCAGCCUAUUCUGGCUGACGACGACCCUGCUAUGGUGGUGGCGGAUGACGACCUUGCUAUGGUGGUGGCGGACGACGACCUCGCUAUGGUGGUGGCGGACGACGACCUCGCGAUGGUGGUGGUGGACGAUGACCUUGCUAUGGUGGUGGCGGACGACGACCUCGCGAUGGUGGCGGCGCCUGCAAUCCCAUAG
This 654-nucleotide ribosomal RNA is filed under the name Triticum aestivum (bread wheat). RNAcentral's name for it is "partial small subunit ribosomal RNA". The record is from RNAcentral. Lineage: Eukaryota; Viridiplantae; Streptophyta; Magnoliopsida; Poales; Poaceae.